ACGGCUCAGUAACACGUGGAUAACCUGACCUUGGGUCCGGAAUAACCCCGGGAAACUGGGGAUAAUACCGGAUAACGCACAUAUGCUGGAAUGCUUUAUGCGUAAAAGGGUUUUACUGCCCAAGGAUGGGUCUGCGGCCUAUCAGGUAGUAAUGGGUGUAAUGGACCUACUAGCCGACAACGGGUGCGGGUUGUGAGAGCGAGAGCCCGGAGAUGGAUUCUGAGACAUGAAUCCAGGCCCUACGGGGCGCAGCAGGUGCGAAAACUUUACAAUGCGGGAAACCGUGAUAAGGGGACACCGAGUGCCAGCAUCAUAUGCCGGCUGUCCGGGUGUGUAAAAUACACCUGUCAGCAAGGGCCGGGCAAGACCGGUGCCAGCCGCCGCGGUAACACCGGCGGCCCGAGUGGUGAUCGUGAUUAUUGGGUCUAAAGGGUCCGUAGCCGGUUUGGUCAGUCCUCAGGGAAAUCUGAUAGCUCAACUAUUAGGUGUUCUGGGGAUACUGCCAGACUUGGAACCGGGAGAGGUAAGAGGUACUACAGGGGUAGGAGUGAAAUCUUGUAAUCCCUGUGGGACCACCUGUGGCGAAGGCGUCUUACCAGAACGGGUUCGACGGUGAGGGACGAAAGCUGGGGGCACGAACCGGAUUAGAUACCCGGGUAGUCCCAGCCGUAAACGAUGCUCGCUAGGUGUCAGGCAUGGCGCGACCGUGUCUGGUGCCGCAGGGAAGCCGUGAAGCGAGCCACCUGGGAAGUACGGCCGCAAGGCUGAAACUUAAAGGAAUUGGCGGGGGAGCAC
RNAcentral lists this ribosomal RNA (795 nucleotides) under uncultured archaeon. RNAcentral describes it as "bacterial SSU rRNA". It matches the Rfam family "Archaeal small subunit ribosomal RNA", at positions 85 to 879 of the family's 1478-position model. The record is from RNAcentral.